GCUGGGCGUGGUGGCUCACGCCUGUAAUCCCAACACUUUGGGAGGCCGAGGUGGGUGGAUCACCUGAGGUCAGGAGUUCGAGACCAGCCUGGCCAACAUGGUGAAACCCCGUCUCUA
This is a non-coding RNA of Homo sapiens (human), 117 nucleotides long. It matches the Rfam family "Metazoan signal recognition particle RNA". From Rfam's summary of the family: The signal recognition particle (SRP) is a universally conserved ribonucleoprotein. It is involved in the co-translational targeting of proteins to membranes. The record is from Rfam. NCBI's taxonomy places the organism in Eukaryota, Metazoa, Chordata, Mammalia, Primates, Hominidae.